AUGCAGUGGUUGGGCGACUCGGUGGAUAAGGAAGUGAAGUUGGAUUUGUGUCUUAUCGCGGUGGAGGGAGAGGUGGAGACAUUGACUCCGGCGACGGCGAGUGGGCGGUCCGGCGAUCUCGCAGGUGUUCCGCCGAGCAUGGAAUUCUUGCUGCAGCCAAUAAACAGAACUCUGCUUGAGGAGGUCAAUGAAAGUAACGGGACAAUGGAGCCCGUUCGGUUCCCAGUGGCCGCGCCGGCGGAGAUUCCUGCUCCAGCCCCGGCCGGGUCAAGUGCGGACGGCCAGAUCUAUCGGCCGGAAGCAUCAGGCGGGGACAAGGCUCAGGGGUCAGAGCACUCAAUAGAGCAGUUGGACCCCAAGACGCCAGGAUGGAUGCAAAGGGUGCGUGUAGGUGCUGCUGCUCCAGGCAGGCCUCCUUGUGCGGACAGGGUCACGACGCUGGAGAAGACCGUGAGGGAGUUUGCGGAGCAUCCAAGAGACAUAGUUAUGAUGCCAAAGAUUGGAACCAGUUUCGACACCCUCGGAGAAGCAUAUGACUUUUACAAUUUGUACUCAUGGAAGAAAGGAUUUGGUAUUCGUUACAGAAAGAGCAGGCUGAAUGUGAAUAGGACGAAGUGUAUGCAAGAGAUCGUGUGUGGAUGCGCGGGCAAGCCAAUCGUUGAGAAUACUCGUUCGUGCCGGUGUGAAUGCCCGGCCCUCAUCAGACUCCCGAGGACAAAGGACAAUGGAUGGUACAUAGCAGAGCAUCGAGAUGGGCACAACCAUGCAUUGUCACAAACGUAUGGCCAGACAAUACACUGGCCAUCACACAAGCAUAUUGACGUUUACAGCAAGGAUCUAGUUAAGCAGUUGAGGCAGAACAAUGUCAAUUUGUCAAAAGUCUACAGCAUUAUUGGAAGCUUUUUCGGAAAGAUGGAGAAUGUGCCAUUCACCAAGAGAGCUCUGCGAAAUUUGUGUGGGAAGAUAAGCCGGGAGCAGUCAGAAGAUGAUGUUAGGAAAACAAUGGAAGUGUUUCAUGAUCUGUGCUCAAAGGAUCCUCAGUUCACGUAUCGAGUUCAGGCGGACAAAGAGGGCAGGAUCAGCAACUUGAUGUGGGCUACAGGUAACAGUAGGCUGCAGUACAACUUCUUUGGGGAUGUCAUCACAUUUGACACAACCUAUAGGACCAACCUGUAUGACAUGCCAUUUGGGUUAUUUGUUGGAGUGAACAACCAUUUCCAGAGUAUCAUACUAGCUGGUGUGCUAGUUCGGCAUGAGACAGAGGAAACAUUUGAGUGGGUCUUCUCGGAGUUUGUGAGGAUAAUGGGGGGAAGGACCGUGGGACUCGCCCGGGGGCUACCAUCAUUGGGUGGCGUCCGGCGCGCCUUGCUUGCGCUAGCCCGCACAUGA
RNAcentral lists this ribosomal RNA (1389 nucleotides) under Triticum aestivum (bread wheat). RNAcentral describes it as "partial small subunit ribosomal RNA". Lineage: Eukaryota; Viridiplantae; Streptophyta; Magnoliopsida; Poales; Poaceae. The record is from RNAcentral.